GCUCAGGUCGCAUAACCUGGUAUUGCGAGGGUCUCAAAAACCCUUAUCCUCACCGGAUCUCUGGGUUCAAAUCCCAGCCUGAGCG
Molecule: transfer RNA, 85 nt
Filed under: Candidatus Woesearchaeota archaeon
Lineage: Archaea; Nanobdellati; Candidatus Woesearchaeota
Description: tRNA-Leu
Rfam family: tRNA
About the family: Transfer RNA (tRNA) molecules are approximately 80 nucleotides in length. Their secondary structure includes four short double-helical elements and three loops (D, anti-codon, and T loops). Further hydrogen bonds mediate the characteristic L-shaped molecular structure. tRNAs have two regions of fundamental functional importance: the anti-codon, which is responsible for specific mRNA codon recognition, and the 3' end, to which the tRNAs corresponding amino acid is attached (by aminoacyl-tRNA synthetases). tRNAs cope with the degeneracy of the genetic code in two manners: having more than one tRNA (with a specific anti-codon) for a particular amino acid; and 'wobble' base-pairing, i.e. permitting non-standard base-pairing at the 3rd anti-codon position.
Source: RNAcentral